AGAGUUUGAUCCUGGCUCAGGGCGAACGCUAGCGGCGCGCCUAACACAUGCAAGUCGUGCGGGAAAGGGCUUCGGCCCUGGUACCGCGGCAGACGGGUGAGUAACACGUGAGCAACCUGUCCCCGGGUCUGGGAUAACCACCCGAAAGGGUGGCUAAUACCGGAUAAAGUCACCGGGCGCAAGCUCGGUGAUGAAAGGGGGCCUCUGCAUAGCAAGCUCCUGCCUGGGGAGGGGCUCGCGGCCCAUCAGCUAGUUGGUGGGGUAACGGCCCACCAAGGCUAUGACGGGUAGCCGGCCUGAGAGGGUGGUCGGCCACACGGGCACUGAGACACGGGCCCGACUCCUACGGGAGGCAGCAGUGGGGAAUCUUGGGCAAUGGGCGAAAGCCUGACCCAGCGACGCCGCGUGGGGGAAGAAGGCCUUCGGGUCGUAAACCCCUGUUCUGGGGGAAGAACCCUGAGCGGGUUAAUAGCCCGUUCAGGCUGACGGUACCCCAGGAGAAAGCCACGGCUAACUGCGUGCCAGCAGCCGCGGUAAUACGCAGGUGGCGAGCGUUGCCCGGAAUCACUGGGCGUAAAGGGUGCGUAGGCGGCAGGGCAAGUCGCGGGUUAAAGCCCGGGGCUUAACCCCGGAAGGGCCUGCGAUACUGCCUUGCUUGAGGGCCGGAGAGGCUGGCGGAAUUCCCGGUGUAGGGGUGAAAUCCGUAGAUAUCGGGAGGAACACCGGUGGGGAAGCCGGCCAGCUGGACGGUUCCUGACGCUGAGGCACGAAAGCGUGGGGAGCAAACCGGAUUAGAUACCCGGGUAGUCCACGCCGUAAACGAUGGGUGCUAGGUCUGGGGAGGAAACUCUCUGGGCCGAAGCUAACGCGUUAAGCACCCCGCCUGGGGAGUACGGCCGCAAGGCUGAAACUCAAAGGAAUUGACGGGGGCCCGCACAAGCGGUGGAGCACGUGGUUUAAUUCGAUGCAAAGCGAAGAACCUUACCUGGGCUUGACAUGCCAGGGUUGUACCCCGGUGGAAACACUGGGGGAGCGUGGGUUUUUACUCACGCGCUCUGGCACAGGUGCUGCAUGGCUGUCGUCAGCUCGUGCCGUGAGGUGUUGGGUUAAGUCCCGUAACGAGCGCAACCC
Molecule: ribosomal RNA, 1131 nt
Filed under: uncultured bacterium
Lineage: Bacteria
Description: bacterial SSU rRNA
Rfam family: Bacterial small subunit ribosomal RNA
Source: RNAcentral